Molecule: ribosomal RNA, 380 nt
Filed under: uncultured eukaryote
Lineage: Eukaryota
Description: partial 18S ribosomal RNA
Rfam family: Eukaryotic small subunit ribosomal RNA
Source: RNAcentral
CAAUAGCGUAUAUUAAAGUUGUUGCAGUUAAAAAGCUCGUAGUUGGAUCUGUGGCGUGCGGUGGGCUCCGGGCACUUGUUGUCUGAGUAGCUCGCCGCUGCCAUCCUUGGGUGGAACCUGUGUGGCAUUAGGUUGUCGUGCAGGGGAUGCCCAUCGUUUACUGUGAAAAAAUUAGAGUGUUCAAAGCAGGCUUAUGCCGUUGAAUAUAUUAGCAUGGAAUAAUGAGAUAGGACUUUUUCGCUAUUUUGUUGGUUUGCGCGAAGAGGUAAUGAUUAAUAGGGACAGUUGGGGGUAUUCGUAUUCCAUUGUCAGAGGUGAAAUUCUUGGAUUUUUGGAAGACGAACUACUGCGAAAGCAUUUACCAAGGAUGUUUUCAUUAA